CUUAUAUGUAUUUUUAAGACUCCACUCAGGGGUGGUCUCCUGAAGAACUUGUCUUUACUGUCCCUACAGGUUACCCAGGAUGCUUCAUAGUGCCACAACUGCCAACACCCAAGAAAUAGCAUCUUCCGUGGCCUUUCAGGCAGGAAGGGGUGAAAAGUUGGAUCCCUGUGUUGAUCAUAGGAAUCAGAAGAUCGAAGGAUUAGAACCAGCAGGAUGGCUCAGCCCAUACCGUGCAGACUACACCAGGAGGAGCGGAGCAGUAUGCAAGAAGAAACCAAAGUCCUCUCGCCCUUGUUAUACAUGCCUGCCUACCUUCCAAGCCCCGGCCAGCUCCUAAAUUCCAUGCUUCCAAAUAAGACAGUAAAAUAUUCAGCUCUGUGGAUUGCUAACAGAUUCUUGGCCUGAGCACAAGUCGCCCCUAAUGUGCCUGACUGGAUACCAAUAUAAAGUACAAUGGGU
This 459-nucleotide long non-coding RNA is filed under the name Rattus norvegicus (Norway rat). RNAcentral describes it as "long non-coding RNA NONRATT033402". Lineage: Eukaryota; Metazoa; Chordata; Mammalia; Rodentia; Muridae. The record is from RNAcentral.